CAUAUCAAUAAGCGGAGGAAAAGAAACUAACAAGGAUUCCCCUAGUAACUGCGAGUGAAGCGGGAAAAGCUCAAAUUUAAAAUCUGUCAGUCUUUGGCUGUCCGAGUUGUAAUCUAGAGAAGUGUUAUCCGCGCUGGACCGUGUACAAGUCUCCUGGAAUGGAGCGUCAUAGAGGGUGAGAAUCCCGUCUUUGACACGGACUGCCAGGGCUUUGUGAUGCGCUCUCAAAGAGUCGAGUUGUUUGGGAAUGCAGCUCAAAAUGGGUGGUAAAUUCCAUCUAAAGCUAAAUAUUGGCGAGAGACCGAUAGCGAACAAGUACCGUGAGGGAAAGAUGAAAAGAACUUUGGAAAGAGAGUUAAACAGUACGUGAAAUUGCUGAAAGGGAAACGCUUGAAGUCAGUCGCGUUGUUCAGGGAUCAACCUUGCUUUUGCUUGGUGUAUUCUCUGGUUGACGGGUCAGCAUCAAUUUUGACUAUUGGAAAAAGAUUAAGGGAAUGUGGCAUCCUUGGAUGUGUUAUAGCCCUUGGUUGCAUACAAUGGUUGGGAUUGAGGAACUCAGCACGCCGAAAGGCCGGGUUUUAACCACGUACGUGCUUAGGAUGCUGGCAUAAUGGCUUUAAUCGACCCGUCUUGAAACACGGACCAAGGAGUCUAACAUGCCUGCGAGUGUUUGGGUGGAAAACCCGAGCGCGUAAUGAAAGUGAAAGUUGAGAUCCUUGUCAUGGGGAGCAUCGACGCCCGGACCAGACCUUUUGUGACGGUUCCGCGGUAGAGCAUGUAUGUUGGGACCCGAAAGAUGGUGAACUAUGCCUGAAUAGGGUGAAGCCAGAGGAAACUCUGGUGGAGGCUCGUAGCGAUUCUGACGUGCAAAUCGAUCGUCAAAUUUGGGUAUAGGGGGCGAAAGACUAAUCGAACCAUCUAGUAGCUGG
This 929-nucleotide ribosomal RNA is filed under the name Cortinarius purpureocapitatus. RNAcentral's name for it is "partial large subunit ribosomal RNA". It matches the Rfam family "Eukaryotic large subunit ribosomal RNA", at positions 39 to 954 of the family's 3401-position model. Lineage: Eukaryota; Fungi; Basidiomycota; Agaricomycetes; Agaricales; Cortinariaceae. The record is from RNAcentral.